This 468-nucleotide ribosomal RNA is filed under the name uncultured bacterium. RNAcentral's name for it is "partial 16S ribosomal RNA". It matches the Rfam family "Bacterial small subunit ribosomal RNA", at positions 28 to 507 of the family's 1533-position model. The record is from RNAcentral.
GACGAACGCUGGCGGCGUGCUUAACACAUGCAAGUCGAACGGCAAGGCCCUGCUUUUGUGGGGUGCUCGAGUGGCGAACGGGUGAGUAACACGUGAGUAACCUGCCCUUGACUUUGGGAUAACUUCAGGAAACUGGGGCUAAUACCGGAUCGGAGCUCCUGCUGCAUGGUGGGGGUUGGAAAGUUUCGGCGGUUGGGGAUGGACUCGCGGCUUAUCAGCUUGUUGGUGGGGUAGUGGCUUACCAAGGCUUUGACGGGUAGCCGGCCUGAGAGGGUGACCGGCCACAUGGGGACUGAGAGACGGCCCAGACGCCUACUGGAGGCAGCAGUGGGGAAUAUUGCACAAUGGGCGGAAGCCUGAUGCAGCAACGCCGCGUGCGGGAUGACGGCCUGCGGGGUGUAAACCGCUUUCGCCUGUGACGAAGCGUGAGUGACGGUAAUGGGUAAAGAAGCACCGGCUAACUACGUG